CGGCGGCAUGCCUACACAUGCAAGUCGUACGGAGAGUGGGGCAACUCACUCUCAGUGGCAAACGGGUGAGUAACGCGUGAAUAACCUGCUUUGAGAAGGGGAUAACUGUCCGAAAGGAUAGCUGAUACCCUAUAUUGCCUUUUGUCACUAAGGCAAAAGGUGAAAGCGAGGCUGUCAAAGGCUUCGGCUCAAAGAGGGGUUCGCGUCCUAUCAGGUAGUUGGUGGGGUAAUGGCCUACCAAGCCAAUGACGGGUAGCUGGUCUUAGAGGAUGAUCAGCCACAGUGGGACUGAGACACGGCCCGCACCCCUACGGGGGGCAGCAGUGGGGAAUCGUGGGCAAUGGGCGCAAGCCUGACCCCGCAAUGCCGCGUGAGGGAAGAAGCCCUUCGGGGUGUAAACCUCUGUCAGAUGGGAAGAUGAGACUAGGGGCUAAUACCUCCUGGUCUUGACGGUACCAUCAGAGGAAGGGACGGCUAACUACGUGCCAGCAGCCGCGGUAAU
RNAcentral lists this ribosomal RNA (502 nucleotides) under uncultured bacterium. RNAcentral describes it as "bacterial SSU rRNA". It matches the Rfam family "Bacterial small subunit ribosomal RNA", at positions 38 to 524 of the family's 1533-position model. The record is from RNAcentral.